GUCUCAUUCUUGCAAAACAGAACCUAAAACGCUGCCCCACUUCUUUUGAGAACGCUCUGAUAGGGUUACUUACGGCUGCUCUUGGUCAAGCUAGCUCUAAGCUCAGCUCGUCUUCACUUCUUAUAUCUGCUCUUGGAGCUGUCGGUCCCGUUGGUUUAAGAGUUGAAGCCGAGAUUAGCUCCUUUCCAGAUGUGAGAGGUACUCGUGGUCAACAGUGGAGAGAUGAUUCUGUUGCAUAGUCUACUUGGACUGGACUUCAUGUCAUUCUUGGGCUUUUCUUUAGGGCUAUGGCCCAUGUACUUGUCCGUCUUUUAGAUUUCUAUAUGUUUCCAUUAAACUGUAUAACCUGUUUCUUUUUGGACAUCGUGGUAUGCCUUGGGUUGUAAGGAGUUAAGUUUAAAACUCCAGAACUGCGCACUGCUGUAUUAUCUUGUGUGAC
Vigna unguiculata (cowpea) is the source of this 439-nucleotide long non-coding RNA. RefSeq lists it as uncharacterized. Lineage: Eukaryota; Viridiplantae; Streptophyta; Magnoliopsida; Fabales; Fabaceae. The record is from RefSeq and is a predicted model, not a curated record.